RNAcentral lists this ribosomal RNA (462 nucleotides) under uncultured bacterium. RNAcentral's name for it is "partial 16S ribosomal RNA". It matches the Rfam family "Bacterial small subunit ribosomal RNA", at positions 28 to 507 of the family's 1533-position model. The record is from RNAcentral.
GACGAACGCUGGCGGCGUGCUUAACACAUGCAAGUCGAACGGAAAGGCCCUUCGGGGUACUCGAGUGGCGAACGGGUGAGUAACACGUGGGUGAUCUGCCCUGCACUUUGGGAUAAGCCUGGGAAACUGGGUCUAAUACCGAAUAGGACCACGCGCUUCAUGGUGUGUGGUGGAAAGCUUUUGCGGUGUGGGAUGGGCCCGCGGCCUAUCAGCUUGUUGGUGGGGUAAUGGCCUACCAAGGCGACGACGGGUAGCCGGCCUGAGAGGGUGACCGGCCACACUGGGGCUGAGAUACGGCCCAGACUCCUACGGGAGGCAGCAGUGGGGAAUAUUGCACAAUGGGCGCAAGCCUGAUGCAGCGACGCCGCGUGAGGGAUGACGGCCUUCGGGUUGUAAACCUCUUUCAAUAGGGACGAAGCGCAAGUGACGGUACCUAUAGAAGAAGCACCGGCCAACUACGUG